CCUACGGGAGGCAGCAGUGGGGAAUCUUGCACAAUGGAGGAAACUCUGAUGCAGCGAUGCCGCGUGAGUGAAGAAGGCCUUUGGGUUGUAAAGCUCUUUUGUAGGGGAAGAUAAUGACUGUACCCUAAGAAUAAGGUCCGGCUAACUUCGUGCCAGCAGCCGCGGUAAUACGAAGGGACCUAGCGUAGUUCGGAAUUACUGGGCGUAAAGCGCGCGUAGGCCGUUGAGUUAGUUAAUUGUGAAAUCCCAAAGCUUAACUUUGGAACUGCAAUUAAAACUGCUCGACUAGAGUUUGAUAGAGGAAAGCGGAAUACAUAGUGUAGAGGUGAAAUUCGUAGAUAUUAUGUAGAACACCAGUUGCGAAGGCGGCUUUCUGGAUCAACACUGACGCUGAGGCGCGAAAGUAUGGGUAGCAAAGAGGAUUAGAUACCCUCGUAGUCCAUACCAUAAACGAUGAUUGCUAGAUGUUGGAAAUUUAUUUUCAGUAUCGCAGCUAACGCAUUAAGCAAUCCGCCUGGGGAGUACGACCGCAAGGUUAAAACUCAAAGGAAUUGACGGCNGAGAGUAGCGACGACGACGACGAGGAGAG
Molecule: ribosomal RNA, 589 nt
Filed under: uncultured bacterium
Lineage: Bacteria
Description: bacterial SSU rRNA
Rfam family: Bacterial small subunit ribosomal RNA
Source: RNAcentral